RNAcentral lists this ribosomal RNA (433 nucleotides) under uncultured bacterium. Its description in RNAcentral is "partial 16S ribosomal RNA". It matches the Rfam family "Bacterial small subunit ribosomal RNA", at positions 29 to 507 of the family's 1533-position model. The record is from RNAcentral.
AACGAACGCUGGCGGCAUGCCUAACACAUGCAAGUCGAACGAGACCUUCGGGUCUAGUGGCGCACGGGUGCGUCACGCGUGGGAACCUUCCCUUAGGUUCGGAAUAACUCCCCGAAAGGGGUGCUAAUACCGGAUAAUGUCUUCGGACCAAAGAUUUAUCGCCUUUGGAUGGGCCCGCGUUGGAUUAGCUAGUUGGUAGGGUAAAAGCCUACCAAGGCGACGAUCCAUAGCUGGUCUGAGAGGAUGAUCAGCCACACUGGGACUGAGACGCGGCCCAGACUCCUACGGGAGGCAGCAGUGGGGAAUAGUGGACAGUGGGCGAAAGCAUGAACCAGCAAUGCCGCGUGAGUGAUGAAGGCCUUAGGGUUGUAAAGCUCUUUUACCCGGGAUGAUAAUGACAGUACCGGGAGAAUAAGCUCCGGCUAACUCCGUG